This 320-nucleotide ribosomal RNA is filed under the name uncultured Chloroflexota bacterium. RNAcentral describes it as "bacterial SSU rRNA". It matches the Rfam family "Bacterial small subunit ribosomal RNA", at positions 28 to 351 of the family's 1533-position model. The record is from RNAcentral. Lineage: Bacteria; Bacillati; Chloroflexota.
GAUGAACGCUGGCGGCGUGCUUAAUACAUGCAAGUCGAACGGAGGAUGUAGCGAUACAUCCUCAGUGGCGAACGGGUGAGUAACGCGUUGGUGACCUGCCCCGAAGAGAGGGAUAACAGUUCGAAAGGACUGCUAAUACCGCAUGAGGUCGUUGAGGCUAGAGGCUCGAUGACGAAAGGAGAAAUCCGCUUUGGGAGGGGCCUGCGUCCCAUCAGCUAGUUGGUAAGGUAAGGCCUACCAAGGCGUAGACGGGUAGGGGACCUGAGAGGGUGGCCCCCCACAAUGGAACUGAAACACGGUCCAUACACCUACGGGUGCAG